Molecule: long non-coding RNA, 4964 nt
Filed under: Sus scrofa (pig)
Lineage: Eukaryota; Metazoa; Chordata; Mammalia; Artiodactyla; Suidae
Description: lncRNA (ENSSSCG00000054320.1)
Source: RNAcentral
UUGAAAGAUAAUAUACAAGUAUAAAAAUAGUUGAGAUAUGUUUUUGAUUUAUGGUAUGUUUUAUUUUCUUCAGAAUUCACUUUAAUUGUCUUUCAAGAAAAGACUUGUUUAUAAGUUCUAUUGUUGCUAUUCUCCCAAUUUAUCCAUCUGCAUGUAAGAAAGCUAGGCAAAAAUUGUCAGCAAUUAAAUCUACAAUACCAGUAAUCAAAAGGUUUCUUAGCUUUUUCUGAUUUAAUGAUAUUAAGGUAACAUAAUAAUAUUAUUUUCUCUGCAGCAUAUUCCUCAGUGAGUAACAUUUCUCUUCAUAUAAGCGGACCAUACAAACCUCUCUCUAGUAUUCCACGAUCGAUCUCAGUGAUUCUUUAUCUAAGACAGAAAAACCGAAGACAUUUUGGUUUUCUUGAAGACUGCAUUAUGCACUUGGGUUAAAGAAUUGUUGGGCACAAAGUUCCAACAUCACAGAUGGUUAUUAGACUUGAGUUGCCCUGAGACAGAAUCCUUAUGUUGCUCUGUGUUAUUCUAUAUUUGGAACUAAUUGUAUUUUUACUCAACAAAGGGUUCAAACACAUGCAAUUAAAAACAAAGUGAAGUUGCUUCCUUUGAUCUAAAUGGAACUAAAAGUCAUGAUUUUUUUGUUGUUGUUGCUUGCUUUUAGAAAUUUACUGUUUAGUUAGCAGGACUUUAACUGGGCAUCAGGCUAACUUAUAUAUUCAAGUGAAUUGAAAAAGGGGCAUGCUGUCCAUGUCCUGGGGGAAUUCCUAGAGGUGGGUAUGCAUCAAGGUCAGGUAAGGUGACUUCAGUCUGGUCCAGGAAAAAGUGGAGCUAGCAGGGCCUCCAAGAAUCAUGGUAGAAUAGGGUCGGCCGGAUGCCACUAACACUUCACCUGGUUGCCCAGCAAGAGCAUCACUGCUUGAAUAUAACAGGACUUCUCUUACAUGUCCACUUCUCUUAGCCUUUUGAUUGCCUUCCUCAGUGACCUUCCAAGGCAAUUUUGGAAUGUACACAUUGUGAAAAUCAGGGAUUCCCAAAGCUAACCCAGCAGCAUUUUAGGUCUAGAUGUGAUUUCAGCAAAUUCUUUGAAGGGUAGAUAACUUUGCCUCAACCAUGCAGGAUAACUGUGAAGAUGGCGAAGAAGUUCGAAGCAUAGGAAACAAGGGAACAGUAGUGUUUAUAGAUAUUGGUUAACAGCCACCACGGGGUCUGUAAAUUCCAAAGUACUUCCAGGAUAUGUGUAUUCUCCGUGCAUGUAGACAAAUAAGAUUUUGGCAGCCUGGGGGCAGCCAUCUAAUAAAGAUGCAAGUGCUGGUUGCUGGGAGAACAAAGGAACUAUGAUAAGUGUCUGCUUUGCCACAGUGUGUAUAUCUGUAAUUAUACAUGCUUUUUUUUCUGUUGUCUUUUCUAUAAAUACAUUUCCUUAUUUUAAAAAAAAGGUCUAUAGUGACUUUACUUGGAAAAGCCAAGUAGUGACCGUGUUGACACUGAUAUGACCUUCUUAUUCUACUCCUUUUCUCUAUAGCCCUUCUUGAUCUCACAUAUCUCAGGAAGUUUGGUGAUAUUUUUCAAUUUACUAGAAAACCUCUACCAACAAAUCUAGUCAUAGAGACUGGACUAACAUUUGGAUGGAUGGAUGAAUUAACAUUUUUCUGAUUACAAGAUCCAAAAAAAAGGGCAGAAGCAAUGAGAUAGGCUGAUCAUAUCUAAGAGAAGCUCAGUGGUUUAUCAGCAUAAUUUUCUUUCUUGGCAUAUUUCAAUAAGCUCUGAUGCAAAUUACUUAAGUAUCAAGAUGAUGUCAAAUUUAUGAUUCCCCUCUAGAAUAUUAAUUUAUAUGAAGUCACUGAAUCAUAUAUUUUUGAAGUUAGAAGAAACCGUGACAUCACUUAGCUUAAUCCUCUCAUUUUAAAAUUGAAGAAGUCAUUGUUGAAGAGAUAAAAUAUCUUCCCAGGAAAAUGUAGAUUUAAAUAUGUGAAGGAUGUUACUUUUGACUCUCUACUCAAUUGCUUCCUUGACCCUUCUUCCUUAGAUGCUAUUCAAUUUUAAUAAUGUUUCUGCAAUAUGAAUAUAUUUUUAUAUGGUAGACAUUUAUGGUUAUACCUAAAAGAAAGCUCAAAUAAAUGGAUGUGCAUUAUGUUGUAGCUUAUACAGCUUUAUAUAGUAUAUUUUAAAAAUUCCUUCUUAUUCCACAAUUAGCUCACAAGGUAGCAUAAGAUUAAUCACUUUAUUUUUCUAAAUGGGUAUAAAACUUUAAACAUAUACAGUGGUUGUAAGGAAAAUUCCUUUUUUUCUCUCUCUCUCUUCACAAUUGUUCUUCUUAGUGAUAUGUGAUCAGGAAGGCAAAAAUCUCAAUUUUCUAAACAGCAUACAUGUACAAAAGGUCACAGUUAAGGUUACCUUGGGGGUUCUAAUUCUGAAUUUCCUGAAUUUUGUGGCUUUAAAUCAUAACUUUAAUGUUCCAUUAAUGCAGAGUGUUUUUUUUACACUGAAUUGUUUUAUGUCUUUUAUUCUGCACUAAUGGACAUUGUGUCCAUUUCGGUGAAUAUCAAAGAGAGUUCAAUAUUCUGGUAAAACUCUUUUUAGUUCAUGUUUUAUUUUUUAAAUCCUUUUAUUUGAGUUUUGACUAAGACAAUUUAAAAGCUUUUCUAUCAAUAACAUUUUUUUUAUCUUAUAGAACAAUCCAAGCAAUAUUGUUUUGGUAUUUAAAAUUAAAAUGUACCUUCUGAAAACUGAAAAAUUUAUGAUUUGUUUUAUUGUUUUAGUAGCUUUAAAAUACAAUUAAAUCAUUAGGCCAGUAUCUUUAUCAUUCAUGUUUAAAACCAUCAGACUGUCUAUCAUCAAAAAAAACCCAAAUAACAAAAACUUUAAUUGAACAUGAAUAUGAAUUAUACUUAUGCUCACAGUGCAGCUCUUUAAUUCUGAGACACUUUGUGAAUUUUAUAGAGAGAUCCUAUUUUAGUAUAUUUUUGUAUAAUCAAUCAGAGUUCUGAGGUAGCUGCUCAAUAAAUAUUUAUUGAACUAUAGUUCUCAAAUUCCCAAACUUACUAUGGUUAUUUCUAUUUUCUAUCCCAAAAUAUGCCUCUUCAUUUUAAAUCGGAGGUGGUACACAUCAAUUCCAAUUAGCUCAGUGAUAGUUCUAGUACUGAGAAUUAUUCUGCAUCAAAUUAGAAGAGAGGAAAGAUGUAACUUGUUAAUUAUCAAUAAACCUAUUUCAUGAAGACAAAAUCUAAGCAUAGUAAAAGCAAGGGCUGUGUUUUGUUUAUCACUCUAAGCUAGAAGCUAUAAUGUAACACUAUUUGAAACUGGCUCCCUAGAACUUAAAUGAUGUGUUUACUAUUUUGGCUUCAGGUUGACAUCUUGACAUAUGCCAAACCUAAGGUAUUUCCCAUACAUAAUUUUCUUUAUAAUUUUUUUUUCUUAGAAUGAAAAUGCUCUCUGGACAUGUAAAUUAUGGAGUUUAUUAGAAUUAGUAGCAACAGAAAGAAUUGUUGAAAUAAUUGAUGUUGUAUGAAAAACAAAGGAGAAAAUCCAUAUAAGUAAGCUACUUCCAGGGCCAAAUAUGAAUGACUCUUAAUAUGUCACAGUACUUAAUUCUCAUGCUCAAAAGGUUAUUCCUUUUUUUUUCUUCAGUUGGGAAACAAUAAUAUUCAGAUGAGUUGAAUAUCUUGGCAAAGGAUAAAGUGAGGAAUUCAGAACAUGAUAACGUAAAAAACUGAAACACACACCAAAAAAUUUACCAAAAUUGAACAACUGUGUACUCCUUAAUUGACCAUUUUAUUCCUAGGUAUAUUCAACAGAAAUGUGCACAAAUAUUCACCAAAAUUUAUGCACAAAAAUGUCCACAGUCUUACUCAUAAUAUUAAAAACUGAACACAACUACAGGAUCUGUACAUGUGUGUGUGUGUGUGUGUGUGUGUGUGUGUGUGUGUGACUAAACAUUGGGUAGAUUUAUACAAUGCAAUAUUAUACAGUAAUACUAAUAAACCACAUUUACAUGCAGUUAAAGAUCUCAAAAACAAUGUUGCACUAACAAAGGCUGACAAACAAUUUUCUCCCGUAUGAUUCAAUUUAUAUAAAUUUCAAACACAAAGAAAACUAGUUGGUGGUUUUGAAGUUAGGCAGUGAUUGGAAGGGGAACCUUUGAGGGUAACUAUGACUGUUAAUUUUGUUUCUUGAUCUGAGUUUUGGUUACACAGAUGAGAUAGGUUUGUAAUAUUCAUUGAACUAAAUAUGAAUUGGGAACUUUUGUGUAAAAAAUCUAUAUUAAAAUUUCAUUUAACCAAAAAAUACAUGCUCAAGUGAAAGUGAAAUAUAUUUUGGAGUCAUAGAUUUAGGUCCAAAUGUAUCUCUACACUUGAUCUUAGCCAAAAGGCCGAGAAGUGAUCCAAAUAUAUCUCUACUUUUACUUUAUAUUAUUUUCAGAUUUCAAGUAGGGAAAUGAGGCUGGAUCACCUACAUUAUAAAAUUAUAAUUAUAAAAUUAUAAUUAUAAAAUUGGUUUAAAGAUUAAGACCAAUGAUUAAACUACUCAUGGCAUAAAAUAAAUAUUUAGGAAAUAAAUAUUAGGUCUUUGUUUUUAUGUUAAAGUUCAAAUGUAUAGUGAGCACAGAACUGGAAAUCAAAUCUACAUCUGACUUGAAAUCCAAAGUUUUUCCUGAGGUCAUAUUGUCUCUCCUACUGUGACUUUGCUCUUAAAAAAGAAUUAUAUGUUGCAGAUAUUAAGGAAAAUUAUUUUAGAAUGGUAUAGUUUAAAGCAUGAAUAGAAAAAAAUGUAACUAUUAUCAAUCACUUUUAGCCUAAACCAUUUUUUAAAAUCUAGGAUAGAGAAACAUAUUUCAAAUUUUAAUUCAUUUGAACUCUCAGUGGCCUCAAAACAACUAGUCAUGCCAGUACCAGAUGUUCUCAAAAGAGAUUCUGAUUUACCAGUUAGUAUUUUAUUUCAUGAGAGUUCAGGACCUGAUGACUUGCAACUUC